UACGAAGGGGGCUAGCGUUGUUCGGAAUCACUGGGCGUAAAGGGCGCGUAGGCGGCCGAUCAAGUCGGGGGUGAAAGCCUGUGGCUCAACCACAGAAUUGCCUUCGAUACUGUUUGGCUUGAGACCGGAAGAGGUUAGUGGAACUGCGAGUGUAGAGGUGAAAUUCGUAGAUAUUCGCAAGAACACCAGUGGCGAAGGCGGCUGACUGCGUUCGUACGUGACGCUGAGGUGCGAAAGCGUGGGGAGCAAACAGG
This 254-nucleotide ribosomal RNA is filed under the name uncultured bacterium. RNAcentral describes it as "partial 16S ribosomal RNA". It matches the Rfam family "Bacterial small subunit ribosomal RNA", at positions 524 to 776 of the family's 1533-position model. The record is from RNAcentral.